Molecule: ribosomal RNA, 440 nt
Filed under: uncultured bacterium
Lineage: Bacteria
Description: partial 16S ribosomal RNA
Rfam family: Bacterial small subunit ribosomal RNA
Source: RNAcentral
CCUACGGGAGGCAGCAGUAGGGAAUAUUGCUCAAUGGGGGAAACCCUGAUGCAGCAACGCCGCGUGGAUGAUGAAGUUUUUCGGAUUGUAAACUCCUUUUGUCAGAGACGAGACUAACCGUAUCCUACCUAUGAACACCCGCUUACCACCUUCCAGCAGCCGCGGGAAUACGGAGGGUGCAAGCGGUACUCGGAAUCCCUGGGCGUUAAGAGGGCGCAGGCGGGCUUGCAAGUACGAUGUGAAAUCCUGUAGCUUAACCACAGAACUGCAUUUGAAACUUUGAGUCUAGAGUGUAGGAGAGGUAGGUGGAAUUCUUGGUGUAGCGGUGAAAUCCGUAGAUAUCAAGAGGAAUACUAGUUGCGAAGGCGACCUACUGGACCGUUACUGACGUUGAUGCACGAAAGCGUGGGGAGCAAACAGGAUUAGAUACCCUUGUAGUC